AUCAGAAAUCUAUUUAGGGAAGCAAAAGCAAAUGCUCCCUGUGUUAUAUUUAUUGAAGAAUUAGAUCUGUUGGUGGGAAGCGAAUUGAGUCUCCAAUGCAUCCAUAUUCAAGGCAGACUGUAAAUCAGCUUCUUGCUGAAAUGGAUGGCUUUAAACCCAG
Neogale vison (American mink) is the source of this 160-nucleotide long non-coding RNA. RefSeq lists it as uncharacterized. The record is from RefSeq and is a predicted model, not a curated record. Lineage: Eukaryota; Metazoa; Chordata; Mammalia; Carnivora; Mustelidae. The transcript is spliced from 3 exons.